Molecule: ribosomal RNA, 493 nt
Filed under: uncultured Porphyromonadaceae bacterium
Lineage: Bacteria; Pseudomonadati; Bacteroidota; Bacteroidia; Bacteroidales; Porphyromonadaceae
Description: bacterial SSU rRNA
Rfam family: Bacterial small subunit ribosomal RNA
Source: RNAcentral
UUGGUGGCGACCGGCGCACGGGUGAGUAACGCGUAUGCAACCCAUCUAUCAGAGGGGAAUAACCCGGCGAAAGUCGGACUAAUACCGCAUAAAACAGGGACACCGCAUGGUGAUAUUUGUUAAAGAAAUUCGCUGAUAGAUGGGCAUGCGUUCCAUUAGGUAGUUGGUGAGGUAACGGCUCACCAAGCCGACGAUGGAUAGGGGAACUGAGAGGUUGGUCCCCCACACUGGUACUGAGACACGGACCAGACUCCUACGGGAGGCAGCAGUGAGGAAUAUUGGUCAAUGGGCGAGAGCCUGAACCAGCCAAGUCGCGUGAAGGAAGAAGGAUCUAUGGUUCGUAAACUUCUUUUGCAGGGGAAUAAAGUGCAGGACGUGUCCUGUUUUGUAUGUACCCUGAGAAUAAGGAUCGGCUAACUCCGUGCCAGCAGCCGCGGUAAUACGGAGGAUCCGAGCGUUAUCCGGAUUUAUUGGGUUUAAAGGGUGCGUAGGU